AUGAAAUGGUUUCUGGGAUCUUUUAUAGAGGGGAUAGUCUGUAGCUUGAUGCCUUUGGAAGCAUUACAAUACAUAAAUAAACUUGUAAGUGUGUUUUACCAUGUAGCAUAAUUAUUGGUGUGUUACUCUCUAUGAACAGUUACUAUCCUGUUGUUGCAUUUUGGUUGGGCAUAAAGUGUCAGUGGUUUAGUCUCUCAAUGUCACCCUCUUUCAUUUUAUAUGCUUAUCUGAUUACUUUGCAUUGCAUA
RNAcentral lists this unclassified non-coding RNA (248 nucleotides) under Hevea brasiliensis (rubber tree). Lineage: Eukaryota; Viridiplantae; Streptophyta; Magnoliopsida; Malpighiales; Euphorbiaceae. The record is from RNAcentral.